CGACGCGAUUGGGUUCGGGUCCGAAGGGGAUCUUCCCAAGAUUGUUUUCGAGUCUGUCAAGGUGAUCGGGUGCGGUGAUCGGGACGGUGUCGUUGCCUUCUCCGAGCAGGAACUCCUCGCCUUUGCGUCUCGUGGGGACCUUCGGCUUCGCUCCUGCACAAAGGUCGAGUCGGGGUGCUCGGCCCGACCUCUCCGACGAUCAAGUCAGUUGAUGUUAAGGGGAAUUCAGAUGAUGAAGUCUUUUUUGUGUCUCCUCUUUUUUCCCUCAGAGCGUAAGGACUUUUAUAGUAAGAAUUAUCGUUGUCUGACGUGCCUGCCUGUAGGGAGUAGGAUCAUACUUCUGAUAACGUCUUACAUUGUCGUUGGCGUGGCGUGAGGGAUCGAGCCUGAGCAGGAUAUUAAUGUGCAUCGAUAGACGUUUUGGUCUGCGUUGACCGGGCGACUCAUCAAGUUUACAGAGGCGAGAUGCGUCACCUGACGCAACUGAUGUCACGUGAGUCUUAUCGUAAUUAUUACCCUCGUCACUGGCUCAAUAUGUUCUUACUUCCUUAUUGAUUGAAGGUAAAAAAAAAAUUUGAUUGAUUUGAGUCAUAUGAUUCAAGUCAGAUCACGACAUAAUAACUCAUUAAUAAUGAAACUAGUAGUAGGUAUAAGUUGGUCAUAAGAAGGUGCGUGGCGCGUGAGACGGUUUCUCACGUGACUCGUUCCGGUUCAGUGAAGAACCGGUCCGGUUAAUUGAGCCCAAGUCUGACUCAAUUUUGCGUCGGUUCCCACAGAACCAAAAAGAGGGAAGAACGAAGAAGAUGAGACCUAAUUCCCUUUACCUUAUCCUCCUCUCGAGCUCUCGUUCCCUUGCCCUCUUUCUGCUCCUCGCUCUCUCCAGUCCCCAGUAAACGUCCCCAUCAUGUCUUCUCGAUCCGCUAAUGCUUCGCGCCGCCCUCUCCCUCACUCCCUCUUCUUCUUGCCCAUCUCCCAAUCUCCGUGGUUCCUCUGGCGACCGAUGAUCCCCACUCUUGAAACGCUCCUGCAGCUACGGUGUCGCGCGGGUGGCCGUUCUCCUUGUCUGGCCCCGGAGUUCUUGGAGGCCGGCCUCCUCGCCGCCGUCAUGCUCGCUCGAUGCACGUGAUUGGAAAGGUCGGUCGGUUAGAUCGGCCACCGAAAAGAAGAAGAAGAAGAAGAUGGAAACAGAGUAUACUGUGUGUAAAGAUAGAAAAGAAGGCGAGAAAGAACACUGGAGCAGAACCAAUGGACCUGCUUCAGCUGCCUGAAGAAGAUGGAGGAAACUGGCUGGAACCCAUCCAUGAUGUCUCCGGAAUAUCCGGCACUCCACUCCAGUUCGUCUGCUGCUCCGUCGUGCUCGAAGCAUAGAAUGGAGAGUACGGAGUUGAUGAUGAAGAUACAACGGAGGAGUAGGUAGGGAUGGAGGGAGCAGGUAAAGAACUGCCGUCGUUCACAGUCGAACACAUGGGCGAAGCGUAAUUGGAGUACAUGUACUGAUCCAAGAGACUCGUCGGAGGGAUCCUCUGGUGCUCCUCGCCCGCCUGCAACAGCCUCGUGUACGCCAAGUAAUCGGUUAUGUUAUCCGACGUGGUGGCAGGGGAAUUGGACGUCGCAAGCGGGACGGAGAGCGACGGCUGAAGUUGGACGUUCUCGGGGAAGUUGAGUUUGGCUCUUCUGCCACGGAAGCGGAGGGCGGCCGCGUCGUACGCCCGCGCUGCCUCCUCGGCAGUCUCGAACGUGCCCAGCCACACCCGCGCCGCCUUGUGGGGAUCCCGGAUCUCCGCCGCCCAUUUUCCCCACGGCCGCUGGCGGACUCCGCGGUACUUCCUUCUCGGCUCGCUUCUCUCCGCCUCUUCCGGGUUGGAGGAAGCAGGGGAGGGCUCUUCCAUGGCUGCUGCCGGAACAGGGUAUCCUAGUAUUGGCAGAGGGCCUCCUUGUGGAUACUGCUCUGUUACUGUACGAGUACCACAGCACAAAGAACAGAACGAGUCACCACCGCCAUGCAGAUGUAAGUCCAAAUAUAUUUCGUAUGCAGAGGAUGUUUGGAUAAAGCAGAA
Long non-coding RNA from Musa acuminata AAA Group (dessert banana), 2057 nucleotides. RefSeq lists it as uncharacterized. Lineage: Eukaryota; Viridiplantae; Streptophyta; Magnoliopsida; Zingiberales; Musaceae. The record is from RefSeq and is a predicted model, not a curated record. The transcript has 2 exons.